Molecule: non-coding RNA, 97 nt
Organism: Equus caballus (horse)
Lineage: Eukaryota; Metazoa; Chordata; Mammalia; Perissodactyla; Equidae
Source: Rfam
GUGGCUGGCGGCUGGGUGCCUUCUACUGGUGCUGUGCAGAGGCUUUCCCUAAGGCUGCUGUGAGCCUGUAGGGUCUCCCCCUAGGCUAUGAAGCUGG